UGGGGAAUAUUGCACAAUGGGCGCAAGCCUGAUGCAGCCAUGCCGCGUGUAUGAAGAAGGCCUUCGGGUUGUAAAGUACUUUCAGCGGGGAGGAAGGCGAUAAGGUUAAUAACCUUGUCGAUUGACGUUACCCGCAGAAGAAGCACCGGUUAACUCCGUGCCAGCAGCCGCGGUAAUACGGAGGGUGCAAGCGUUAAUCGGAAUUACUGGGCGUAAAGCGCACGCAGGCGGUCUGUCAAGUCGGAUGUGAAAUCCCCGGGCUCAACCUGGGAACUGCAUUCGAAACUGGCAGGCUAGAGUCUUGUAGAGGGGGGUAGAAUUCCAGGUGUAGCGGUGAAAUGCGUAGAGAUCUGGAGGAAUACCGGUGGCGAAGGCGGCCCCCUGGACAAAGACUGACGCUCAGGUGCGAAAGCGUGGGGAGCAAACA
This 427-nucleotide ribosomal RNA is filed under the name uncultured bacterium. RNAcentral's name for it is "partial 16S ribosomal RNA". It matches the Rfam family "Bacterial small subunit ribosomal RNA", at positions 355 to 774 of the family's 1533-position model. The record is from RNAcentral.